UCCUACGGGGGGCAGCAGUAGGGAAUUUUCGUCAAUGGGGGGAACCCUGAACGAGCAAUGCCGCGUGAGUGAAGAAGGCCUUCGGGUCGUAAAGCUCUGUUGUAAGAGAAAAACGGUAAUGAUAGGGAAUGAUCAUUAAGUGAUGGUAUCUUACGAGGAAGCCACGGCUAACUACGUGCCAGCAGCCGCGGUAAUACGUAGGUGGCAAGCGUUAUCCGGAUUUAUUGGGUUUAAAGGGUGCGCAGGCGGCACGGCAAGCCGGCGGUCAAAUCGCGGGGCUCAACCCCGCCCAGCCGUCGGAACUG
RNAcentral lists this ribosomal RNA (305 nucleotides) under uncultured bacterium. RNAcentral's name for it is "bacterial SSU rRNA". It matches the Rfam family "Bacterial small subunit ribosomal RNA", at positions 337 to 635 of the family's 1533-position model. The record is from RNAcentral.